GGGGGGUGAAUCUUUGCGGCAAUAGGACGCAAGCCUGAUCCAGCCAUGCCGCGUGUGUGAAGAAGGUCUUCGGAUUGUAAAACUCUUUUGUUUGGGAGGAAGGGUACCCGCUAAUACCUGGCUGGUUGACGUUACCCACCGAAUAGCCACCGGCUAACUUCGCCCCCCCCGCGGUUUUAA
RNAcentral lists this ribosomal RNA (180 nucleotides) under uncultured bacterium. RNAcentral's name for it is "partial 16S ribosomal DNA". It matches the Rfam family "Bacterial small subunit ribosomal RNA", at positions 352 to 523 of the family's 1533-position model. The record is from RNAcentral.